AGAGUUUGAUCAUGGCUCAGGACGAACGCUGGCGGCGUGCCUAAUACAUGCAAGUCGAACGAGAGCGACCGGUGCUUGCACUGGUCAAUCUAGUGGCGAACGGGUGAGUAACACGUGGGUAACCUGCCCAUCAGAGGGGGAUAACAUUCGGAAACGGAUGCUAAAACCGCAUAGGUCUUCGAACCGCAUGGUUUGAAGAGGAAAAGAGGCGCAAGCUUCUGCUGAUGGAUGGACCCGCGGUGCAUUAGCUAGUUGGUGAGGUAACGGCUCACCAAGGCCGUGAUGCAUAGCCGACCUGAGAGGGUGAUCGGCCACAUUGGGACUGAGACACGGCCCAAACUCCUACGGGAGGCAGCAGUAGGGAAUCUUCCGCAAUGGACGCAAGUCUGACGGAGCAACGCCGCGUGAGUGAAGAAGGUUUUCGGAUCGUAAAACUCUGUUGUUAGAGAAGAACAAGUGCUAGAGUAACUGUUAGCGCCUUGACGGUAUCUAACCAGAAAGCCACGGCUAACUACGUGCCAGCCGCCGCGGUAAUUC
This 537-nucleotide ribosomal RNA is filed under the name uncultured bacterium. RNAcentral's name for it is "bacterial SSU rRNA". It matches the Rfam family "Bacterial small subunit ribosomal RNA", at positions 8 to 526 of the family's 1533-position model. The record is from RNAcentral.